GACGAACGCUGGCGGCGUGCUUAACACAUGCAAGUCGUACGGUAAGGCCCUUUCGGGGGUACACGAGUGGCGAACGGGUGGGUAACACGUGAGUAACCUGCCCACAACUUUGGGAUAACGCUAGGAAACUGGUGCUAAUACUGGAUAUGUGCUCCUGCUGCAUGGUGGGGGUUGGAAAGCUCCGGCGGUUGUGGAUGGACUCGCGGCCUAUCAGCUUGUUGGUGGGGUAGUGGCCUACCAAGGCGGCGACGGGUAGCCGGCCUGAGAGGGUGACCGGCCACAUUGGGACUGAGAUACGGCCCAGACGCCUACGGGAGGCAGCAGUGGGGAAUAUUGCACAAUGGGCGCAAGCCUGAUGCAGCAACGCCGCGUGCGGGAUGACGGCCUUCGGGUUGUAAACCGCUUUCAGCAGGGACGAAGCUUUUUGUGACGGUACCUGCAGAAGAAGCACCGGCUAACUACGUG
Molecule: ribosomal RNA, 465 nt
Filed under: uncultured bacterium
Lineage: Bacteria
Description: partial 16S ribosomal RNA
Rfam family: Bacterial small subunit ribosomal RNA
Source: RNAcentral